Molecule: ribosomal RNA, 867 nt
Filed under: Pseudophacidium ledi
Lineage: Eukaryota; Fungi; Ascomycota; Leotiomycetes; Rhytismatales; Ascodichaenaceae
Description: LSU rRNA
Rfam family: Eukaryotic large subunit ribosomal RNA
Source: RNAcentral
AUUUGUAGAGGAUGUUUCGGGUGUGGCUCCGGUCUAAGUUCCUUGGAACAGGACGUCAUAGAGGGUGAGAAUCCCGUAUGUGACUGGUAGCCUACGCUCAUGUGAAACUCCUUCGACGAGUCGAGUUGUUUGGGAAUGCAGCUCAAAAUGGGUGGUAAAUUUCAUCUAAAGCUAAAUAUUGGCCAGAGACCGAUAGCGCACAAGUAGAGUGAUCGAAAGAUGAAAAGCACUUUGGAAAAACAGUACGUGAAAUUGUUGAAAGGGAAAGCGCUUGCAACCCAGACUUGCAUGUAGCUGAUCAACCGGUGUUCUCACCGGUGCACUCAGUUACGUUUCAGGCCAGCAUCGGUUUCGACGGUUGGAUAAAAGGCCUUGGGAAUGUAGCUCCUCUCGGGGAGUGUUAUAGCCCAGGGUGCAAUGCAGCCUGUUGGGACCGAGGACCGCGCUUCGGCUAGGAUGCUGGCGUAAUGGUUGUAAGCGACCCGUCUUGAAACACGGACCAAGGAGUCUAACAUCUAUGCGAGUGUUUGGGUGUCAAACCCAUACGCGUAAUGAAAGUGAACGGAGGUGAGAACCCUUAAGGGUGCAUCAUCGACCGAUCCUGAAGUCUUCGGAUGGAUUUGAGUAAGAGCAUAGCUGUUGGGACCCGAAAGAUGGUGAACUAUGCCUGAAUAGGGUGAAGCCAGAGGAAACUCUGGUGGAGGCUCGCAGCGGUUCUGACGUGCAAAUCGAUCGUCAAAUUUGGGUAUAGGGGCGAAAGACUAAUCGAACCAUUAACAUGUAAUGUUAUUCUUACUAGGUGGUUAAUAGGCACAUAAAAAGGUGUGUCUAGUUCAGUGUAUUGAGCGAAAUCUCCAAAUUGCGGGG